AGGAAGCAAGCAAGGCCCUCCCGCACCCACUCCCAGGCCGGACCGGACCCACCACACACUCUUCCUUGAGGAGAUGGCAGGCACCCAGGUCUGGGCAGAGCUGCCCUCCUGGUCUCAGUGUCCUGAGAGCUCUUUUCCCCCUCGGACCCCAGAGCAGGGAGACCUGUGCACGGCUCUGCACGGCUCCCCCCGACUCUGUCUCCAAGCCCCUCGGCCAGGUGCACAUGGGGUGGCCGGUCAUCCCGGGGUCCAGACUGCAGAAGUGACCCAGGCUGGCGGGACAGUUCACCCCAGGCCUUGGGACCUCCUGAAGUUAAGGACAGAGGCUGGGCUCCCCUCUGGGAAAACAGAAAAGGAACAGGCGUUCGGGGCAAGCCCAGAGCUGCAGAAUGAAAGCCCGGCCACCAGGGAUUCCCUAGGUCCAGAUGACCUCCCAGUGGACUGA
This 445-nucleotide long non-coding RNA is filed under the name Bos grunniens (domestic yak). RNAcentral's name for it is "lncRNA (ENSBGRG00000021499.1)". The record is from RNAcentral. Lineage: Eukaryota; Metazoa; Chordata; Mammalia; Artiodactyla; Bovidae.